Molecule: non-coding RNA, 82 nt
Filed under: Prorocentrum minimum
Lineage: Eukaryota; Dinophyceae; Prorocentrales; Prorocentraceae
Source: RNAcentral
GUUCGCGGGCCUGUCGGCCGCCGCCCUCAAGGUGGCGAGCGUGCGGCAGGAGCUCCAGAGCAGCGUCAAGUACCUGCUCCAG